AUUAACACAUGCAAGUCGAACGCACUCUCGUUUAGAUUGAAGGAGCUUGCUCCUGAUUGAUAAACAUUUGAGUGAGUGGCGGACGGGUGAGUAACACGUGGGUAACCUGCCCUAAAGUGGGGGAUAACAUUUGGAAACAGAUGCUAAUACCGCAUAAAACCUAACACCGCAUGGUGUAGGGUUGAAAGAUGGUUUCGGCUAUCACUUUAGGAUGGACCCGCGGUGCAUUAGUUAGUUGGUGAGGUAAAGGCUCACCAAGACCGUGAUGCAUAGCCGACCUGAGAGGGUAAUCGGCCACACUGGGACUGAGACACGGCCCAGACUCCUACGGGAGGCAGCAGUAGGGAAUCUUCCACAAUGGACGAAAGUCUGAUGGAGCAACGCCGCGUGAGUGAAGAAGGUUUUCGGAUCGUAAAACUCUGUUGUUGGAGAAGAAUGUAUCUGAUAGUAACUGAUCAGGUAGUGACGGUAUCCAACCAGAAAGCCACGGCUAACUACGUGCCAGCAGCCGCGGUAAUACGUAGGUGGCAAGCGUUGUCCGGAUUUAUUGGGCGUAAAGCGAGCGCAGGCGGUUUCUUAAGUCUGAUGUGAAAGCCUUCGGCUCAACCGAAGAAGUGCAUCGGAAACUGGGAAACUUGAGUGCAGAAGAGGACAGUGGAACUCCAUGUGUAGCGGUGAAAUGCGUAGAUAUAUGGAAGAACACCAGUGGCGAAGGCGGCUGUCUGGUCUGUAACUGACGCUGAGGCUCGAAAGCAUGGGUAGCAAACAGGAUUAGAUACCCUGGUAGUCCAUGCCGUAAACGAUGAGUGCUAGGUGUGGGAGGGUUUCCGCCCUUCAGUGCCGCAGCUAACGCAUUAAGCACUCCGCCUGGGAGUACGACCGCAAGGUUGAAACUCAAAGGAAUUGACGGGGGCCCGCACAAGCGGUGGAGCAUGUGGUUUAAUUCGAAGCAACGCGAAGAACCUUACCAGGUCUUGACAUCCUUUGACCACUCUAGAGAUAGAGCUUUCCCUUCGGGGACAAAGUGACAGGUGGUGCAUGGUUUGUCGUCAGCUCGUGUCGUGAGAUGUUGGGUUAAGUCCCGCAACGAGCGCAACCCUUAUUACUAGUUGCCAGCAUUUAGUUGGGCACUCUAGUGAGACUGCCGGUGACAAACCGGAGGAAGGUGGGGACGACGUCAAAUCAUCAUGCCCCUUAUGACCU
Molecule: ribosomal RNA, 1203 nt
Filed under: Latilactobacillus sakei
Lineage: Bacteria; Bacillati; Bacillota; Bacilli; Lactobacillales; Lactobacillaceae
Description: bacterial SSU rRNA
Rfam family: Bacterial small subunit ribosomal RNA
Source: RNAcentral